This 400-nucleotide ribosomal RNA is filed under the name phytoplankton environmental sample. Its description in RNAcentral is "partial small subunit ribosomal RNA". It matches the Rfam family "Eukaryotic small subunit ribosomal RNA", at positions 587 to 993 of the family's 1831-position model. The record is from RNAcentral.
AGCUCCAAUAGCGUAUAUUAAUGUUGUUGCAGUUAAAAAGCUCGUAGUCGGAUUUCGGAGCAGGUGAACGGUUCGGCCGAUGGGUUUGUAACUGUUGACUUGCUCUUCCUUCCGAAGGCUGCGUCUGCCCUUGAUUGGAUGGGCGUGGAAUUCGGAACUUUUACUUUGAAAAAAUUAGAGUGUUUAAAGCAGGCAUAUGCUCUGAAUACAUUAGCAUGGAAUAAUCGAAUAGGACUUUGGUUCUAUUUUGUUGGUUUCUAGGACUGAAGUAAUGAUCAACAGGGACGGUUGGGGGCGUUCGUAUUUCAUUGUCAGAGGUGAAAUUCUUGGAUUUAUGAAAGACGAACUUCUGCGAAAGCAUCCGCCAGGGACGUUUUCAUUGAUCAAGAACGAAAGUAGG